CGCGUGGUUCUAUUUUGUUGGUUAUAGGACCGCCGUAAUGAUUAAUAGGGACAGUCGGGGGCAUCAGUAUUCAGCUGUCAGAGGUGAAAUUCUUGGAUUUGCUGAAGACUAACUACUGCGAAAGCAUUUGCCAAGGAUGUUUUCAUUAAUCAGGAACGAAAGUUAGGGGAUCGAAGACGAUCAGAUACCGUCGUAGUCUUAACCAUAAACUAUGCCGACUAGGGAUCGGGCGAUGUUACUAUUUGACUCGCUCGGCACCUUACGAGAAAUCAAAGUCUUUGGGUUCCAGGGGGAGUAUGGUCGCAAGGCUGAAACUUAAAGAAAUUGACGGAAGGGCACCACCAGGGGUGGAGCCUGCGGCUUAAUUUGACUCAACACGGGGAAACUCAC
This 390-nucleotide ribosomal RNA is filed under the name fungal sp. Its description in RNAcentral is "SSU rRNA". It matches the Rfam family "Eukaryotic small subunit ribosomal RNA", at positions 828 to 1218 of the family's 1831-position model. Lineage: Eukaryota; Fungi. The record is from RNAcentral.